RNAcentral lists this ribosomal RNA (253 nucleotides) under uncultured bacterium. RNAcentral describes it as "partial 16S ribosomal RNA". It matches the Rfam family "Bacterial small subunit ribosomal RNA", at positions 524 to 776 of the family's 1533-position model. The record is from RNAcentral.
UACAGAGGUCCCAAGCGUUGUUCGGAUUCACUGGGCGUAAAGGGUGCGUAGGCGGUCGGGUAAGUCUGACGUGAAAUACUGGAGCUCAACUCCGGAACGGCGUCGGAAACUACUCGGCUAGAGGGUUGGAGGGGGGACUGGAAUUCUCGGUGUAGCAGUGAAAUGCGUAGAUAUCGAGAGGAACACCUGUGGCGAAGGCGAGUCCCUGGACAAUACCUGACGCUGAGGCACGAAAGCUAGGGGAGCAAACAGG